GCUCAGUUGGUAAAGCACAAAGCUCUUAACCUUGUGGCGUGGGUUCAAGCCCCAU
Molecule: transfer RNA, 55 nt
Filed under: Triticum urartu
Lineage: Eukaryota; Viridiplantae; Streptophyta; Magnoliopsida; Poales; Poaceae
Rfam family: tRNA
About the family: Transfer RNA (tRNA) molecules are approximately 80 nucleotides in length.
Source: Rfam by way of RNAcentral